RNAcentral lists this transfer-messenger RNA (363 nucleotides) under Salmonella enterica subsp. enterica serovar Infantis. It matches the Rfam family "transfer-messenger RNA". From Rfam's summary of the family: Bacterial tmRNA, also known as 10Sa RNA or SsrA, is named for its dual tRNA and mRNA-like properties. Its role is to liberate the mRNA from a stalled ribosome. Lineage: Bacteria; Pseudomonadati; Pseudomonadota; Gammaproteobacteria; Enterobacterales; Enterobacteriaceae. The record is from RNAcentral.
GGGGCUGAUUCUGGAUUCGACGGGAUUUGCGAAACCCAAGGUGCAUGCCGAGGGGCGGUUGGCCUCGUAAAAAGCCGCAAAAAAAUAGUCGCAAACGACGAAAACUACGCUUUAGCAGCUUAAUAACCUGCUUAGAGCCCUCUCUCCCUAGCCUCCGCUCUUAGGACGGGGAUCAAGAGAGGUCAAACCCAAAAGAGAUCGCGUGGAUGCCCUGCCUGGGGUUGAAGCGUUAAAACGAACCAGGCUAGUCUGGUAGUGGCGUGUCCGUCCGCAGGUGCCAGGCGAAUGUAAAGACUGACUAAGCAUGUAGUACCGAGGAUGUAGGAAUUUCGGACGCGGGUUCAACUCCCGCCAGCUCCACCA